GUCAACUUUCGAAUACACAUCCUCUAUGGAAUUUUGUACAUUAGGAGUUUGUAAACAUUGACCGAUAAGACAACUAUUUGAAACAAAAUGAAAUAUUAGCAUGCUAAAAAGAAACAAACAAAAACAGAAGAUCUCAGUGGUUCAUGGUGUCAGAAAGCAGAGAUCCACAUCAACAUCAUUAACAGAUGAAGAACCAGUCGGUGGUAACAAUGAAGAUCAUACUUUGAUAUUUAGUCA
Molecule: long non-coding RNA, 237 nt
Organism: Mytilus trossulus (common blue mussel)
Lineage: Eukaryota; Metazoa; Mollusca; Bivalvia; Mytilida; Mytilidae
Exons: 3
Source: RefSeq, a predicted model, not a curated record